Molecule: ribosomal RNA, 1244 nt
Filed under: metagenome
Description: bacterial LSU rRNA
Rfam family: Bacterial large subunit ribosomal RNA
Source: RNAcentral
UGAAUACGAGAUGCUACGGCGUCGAAGCAGUGUAUGUCAGACUUCCAAGAAAAGCUCGCAAUGUCAUAAAUAAAGAAUGCCUGUACCAUAACCGACACAGGUGGGUAGGUAGAGUAUACUAAGGGGCGCGAGAUAACUCUCUCUAAGGAACUCGGCAAAAUAACUCCGUAACUUCGGGAGAAGGAGUGCCUUCUUUAAGAAGGUUGCAAUAACAAGAUCCAAGCAACUGUUUAUCAAAAACACAGGUCUCCGCUAAGUCGUAAGACGAUGUAUGGGGGCUGACGCCUGCCCAGUGCCAGAAGGUUAAAGAAGCUGGUUAGCAAUAGCGAAGCUGGUGACUGAAGCCCUGGUGAACGGCGGCCGUAACAAUAACGGUCCUAAGGUAGCGAAAUUCCUUGUCGGGUAAGUUCCGACCCGCACGAAAGGCGUAAUGAUUUGGAUACUGUCUCGGAGAGGGACUCGGUGAAAUAGACUUGUCUGUGAAGAUGCGGACUACCUGCACCAGGACAGAAAGACCCUAUGAAGCUUUACUGUAACCUGAAAUUGAAAUUGGACUUUAUUUGCGCAGUAUAGGUGGGAGGCGUUGAAAGUAAUCUUGCGGGAUUAGUGGAGCCAUCAGUGAGAUACCACUCCUAUAAUGUUAGAUUUCUAACUUUGGAUCAUGAUCUGGUCAAAGAACAGUUUCAGGCGGGCAGUUUGACUGGGGCGGUCGCCUCCCAAAUGGUAACGGAGGCGUACAAAGGUUUCCUCUGAACGGGUAGAAAUCGUAUCUAGAGUGUAAAGGCAUAAGGAAGCUUGACUGUGAGACCUACAAGUCGAGCAGGGACGAAAGUCGGUCUUAGUGAUCUGACGGUGCUGAGUGGAAAGGCCGUCACUCAACGGAUAAAAGUUACUCUAGGAUAACAGGCUGAUCUCCCCCAAGAGUUCACAUCGACGGGGAGGUUUGGCACCUCGAUGUCGGCUCAUCGCAUCCUGGGGCGGUAGUACGUCCCAAGGGUUGGGCUGUUCGCCCAUGAAAGCGGUACGCGAGCUGGGUUCAGAACGUCGUGAGACAGUUCGGUCCAUAUCCGGUGUAGGCGUUAGAAUAUUGAGAGGAGCCUUCUCUAGUACGAGAGGACCGAGAAGGACAUACCUCUGGUGUACCAGUUAUCGUGCCAACGGUAAACGCUGGGUAGCUAUGUAUGGAGAGGAUAACCGCUGAAAGCAUCUAAGUGGGAAGCCCACCUCAAGAUGAGUAUUCUCAC